RNAcentral lists this ribosomal RNA (450 nucleotides) under uncultured bacterium. Its description in RNAcentral is "bacterial SSU rRNA". It matches the Rfam family "Bacterial small subunit ribosomal RNA", at positions 64 to 507 of the family's 1533-position model. The record is from RNAcentral.
GAGCGGAUGACGGGAGCUUGCUCCUUGAUUCAGCGGCGGACGGGUGAGUAAUGCCUAGGAAUCUGCCUGGUAGUGGGGGACAACGUUUCGAAAGGAACGCUAAUACCGCAUACGUCCUACGGGAGAAAGCAGGGGACCUUCGGGCCUUGCGCUAUCAGAUGAGCCUAGGUCGGAUUAGCUAGUUGGUGGGGUAAUGGCUCACCAAGGCGACGAUCCGUAACUGGUCUGAGAGGAUGAUCAGUCACACUGGAACUGAGACACGGUCCAGACUCCUACGGGAGGCAGCAGUGGGGAAUAUUGGACAAUGGGCGAAAGCCUGAUCCAGCCAUGCCGCGUGUGUGAAGAAGGUACUUCGGAUUGUAAAGCACUUUAACUUGGGAGGAAGGGCAGUAAGCUAAUACCUUGCUGUUUUGACGUUACCGACAGAAUAAGCACCGGCUAACUACUGUG